This 463-nucleotide ribosomal RNA is filed under the name Vreelandella stevensii. Its description in RNAcentral is "partial 16S ribosomal RNA". It matches the Rfam family "Bacterial small subunit ribosomal RNA", at positions 338 to 795 of the family's 1533-position model. Lineage: Bacteria; Pseudomonadati; Pseudomonadota; Gammaproteobacteria; Oceanospirillales; Halomonadaceae. The record is from RNAcentral.
CCUACGGGAGGCAGCAGUGGGGAAUAUUGGACAAUGGGGGCAACCCUGAUCCAGCCAUGCCGCGUGUGAAGAAGGCCCUCGGGUUGUAAAGCACUUUCAGUGAGGAAGAACGCCUGGUGGUUAAUACCCAUCAGGAAAGACAUCACUCACAGAAGAAGCACCGGCUAACUCCGUGCCAGCAGCCGCGGUAAUACGGAGGGUGCGAGCGUUAAUCGGAAUUACUGGGCGUAAAGCGCGCGUAGGUGGCUUGAUAAGCCGGUUGUGAAAGCCCCGGGCUCAACCUGGGAACGGCAUCCGGAACUGUCAAGCUAGAGUGCAGGAGAGGAAGGUAGAAUUCCCGGUGUAGCGGUGAAAUGCGUAGAGAUCGGGAGGAAUACCAGUGGCGAAGGCGGCCUUCUGGACUGACACUGACACUGAGGUGCGAAAGCGUGGGUAGCAAACAGGAUUAGAUACCCCAGUAGUC